This 1064-nucleotide ribosomal RNA is filed under the name Gilliamella sp. Bif1-4. Its description in RNAcentral is "bacterial SSU rRNA". It matches the Rfam family "Bacterial small subunit ribosomal RNA", at positions 262 to 1319 of the family's 1533-position model. Lineage: Bacteria; Pseudomonadati; Pseudomonadota; Gammaproteobacteria; Orbales; Orbaceae. The record is from RNAcentral.
GGCUCACCAAGGCGACGAUCUCUAGCUGGUCUGAGAGGAUGACCAGCCACACUGGAACUGAGACACGGUCCAGACUCCUACGGGAGGCAGCAGUGGGGAAUAUUGCACAAUGGGGGGAACCCUGAUGCAGCCAUGCCGCGUGUAUGAAGAAGGCCUUCGGGUUGUAAAGUACUUUCGGUGAUGAGGAAGGAAGUGUAUCUAAUAGGUACAUUAAUUGACGUUAAUUACAGAAGAAGCACCGGCUAACUCCGUGCCAGCAGCCGCGGUAAUACGGAGGGUGCGAGCGUUAAUCGGAAUGACUGGGCGUAAAGGGCAUGUAGGCGGAUAAUUAAGUUAGGUGUGAAAGCCCUGGGCUCAACCUAGGAAUUGCACUUAAAACUGGUUAACUAGAGUAUUGUAGAGGAAGGUAGAAUUCCACGUGUAGCGGUGAAAUGCGUAGAGAUGUGGAGGAAUACCGGUGGCGAAGGCGGCCUUCUGGACAGAUACUGACGCUGAGAUGCGAAAGCGUGGGGAGCAAACAGGAUUAGAUACCCUGGUAGUCCACGCUGUAAACGAUGUCGAUUUGGAGUUUGUUGCCUAGAGUGAUGGGCUCCGAAGCUAACGCGAUAAAUCGACCGCCUGGGGAGUACGGCCGCAAGGUUAAAACUCAAAUGAAUUGACGGGGGCCCGCACAAGCGGUGGAGCAUGUGGUUUAAUUCGAUGCAACGCGAAGAACCUUACCUGGUCUUGACAUCCACAGAAUCUUGUAGAGAUACGAGAGUGCCUUCGGGAACUGUGAGACAGGUGCUGCAUGGCUGUCGUCAGCUCGUGUUGUGAAAUGUUGGGUUAAGUCCCGCAACGAGCGCAACCCUUAUCCUUUGUUGCCAUCGAUUCGGUCGGGAACUCAAAGGAGACUGCCGUUGAUAAAGCGGAGGAAGGUGGGGACGACGUCAAGUCAUCAUGGCCCUUACGACCAGGGCUACACACGUGCUACAAUGGCGUAUACAAAGGGAGGCGACCUCGCGAGAGUAAGCGGACCUCACAAAGUACGUCUAAGUCCGGAUUGGAGUCUGCAACUCGACUCC